AUUGAACGCUGGCGGAAUGCCUUACACAUGCAAGUCGAACGGCAGCACGGGGGCAGCCCUGGUUGCGGGUGGCCAACGGGUGAGUAAUACAUCGGAACGUCCCCGGCCGCUGGGGCUAACGUAGCGACAGUUACGCUCCUACCCCAUCCCCUCUGAGGAUGAACGCGGGGGACCUUCGGACCUCCCGCGCUCGCGCCGUCCGAUGUCCCAUUAGGUAGUUGGGGGGGUAACGGCCUACCCAGGCGCCGAUGCGUAGCUGGUCUGAGAGGCCGACCCGCCACACUGGGGCUGAGACACGGGCCAGACUCCUACGGGAGGCAGCAGUGGGGAAUUUUGGACAAUGGGCGCAAGCCUGAUCCAGCCAUACCGCGUGGAGGACGAAGGCCUUCGGGUUGUAAAGUGCUUUUGUACGGAACGAAAAGGAGCUGGCUAAUACCUGGGGGUCAUGACGGUACCGUAAGAAUAAGCACCGGCUAACUACGUG
This 484-nucleotide ribosomal RNA is filed under the name uncultured bacterium. RNAcentral's name for it is "partial 16S ribosomal RNA". It matches the Rfam family "Bacterial small subunit ribosomal RNA", at positions 28 to 507 of the family's 1533-position model. The record is from RNAcentral.